CCUACGGGAGGCAGCAGUAGGGAAUCUUUCACAAUGGGCGAAAGCCUGAUGGAGCAACGCCGCGUGCAGGAUGAAGGCCUUCGGGUUGUAAACUGCUUUUAUAAGCGAGAAAUAUGAUGGUAACUUAUGAAUAAGGAUCGGCUAACUACGUGCCAGCAGCCGCGGUCAUACGUAGGAUCCGAGCAUUAUCCGGAGUGACUGGGUGUAAAGAGUGGCGUAGGUGGCAUAAUAAGUAGCUAGUGAAAUCUGGUGGCUCAACCAUUCAGACUAUUGGCUAAACUGUUAAGCUCGAGACCGUUAGGGGUAACUGGAAUUGCUAGUGUAGGAGUGAAAUGCGUAGAUAUUAGAAAGAACACCAAUAGCGUAGGCAGGUUACUGGGACGGUUCUGACACUAAGGCACGAAGGCGUAGGGAGCAAACGGGAUUAGAUACCCUAGUAGUC
RNAcentral lists this ribosomal RNA (442 nucleotides) under uncultured bacterium. Its description in RNAcentral is "partial 16S ribosomal RNA". It matches the Rfam family "Bacterial small subunit ribosomal RNA", at positions 338 to 795 of the family's 1533-position model. The record is from RNAcentral.